Molecule: long non-coding RNA, 757 nt
Filed under: Pan troglodytes (chimpanzee)
Lineage: Eukaryota; Metazoa; Chordata; Mammalia; Primates; Hominidae
Description: lncRNA (ENSPTRG00000053005.1)
Source: RNAcentral
GCUGUCCUGAUACUGCCUGGGAGUGCCUCCUGUGUGAGUCCUAAAAAACUCAUCUCCUUACCAAGCUGGGCUUGUCCCAGGCAUUCUUUGGCCCCUCAGCUCCCUCACAGCUUGAGGGUAUGUUACAGCCCCACGUUUUUCUUGUAACACAUAGCCUGUGCCCUCCUUUCCCUCCAGCCUCCCCUGGGGAGUGAGCUUUGAGCUGACCCUUGCCUGGGUGGCUUUUCUCUAAGCAUCAGGAAUGUCCUGAGCAUCCUGCCCAACGGUCACAGGCUUGACAGACCUCCGGACAUUUGGCCAGGACUUCAAUUUUCAGAUUUAAUUUCAAACCAAAUCACUCCCAUCACUAUUGUAUUCUAGUGUUGUAUGAACACUCUGAAGAAAGGAUGUCUGCACACACUCUGAUUUUGUACCUGGGGAAACAGGCUCAGGCCAAGUCCAUGCCUUCCUCAUGGUCACUGCGUUGGAAGGAGGACCGCCUGCUUCCCACCUGUCUUCACACGUGUGUGCUUCUUCUCCGACUGCGGAGCCCGUGGCAGAGCGGACUCUUCUGGGCUCACACCGCCAGCACGGCAGGCCCCCUGCACCAGGACCUGAGAACAGCUGUGUUUUGGACCAGGGACACCUUCUGAGCAGCACACUUGGGCAGUUGCAUCUCUGUGAAUUAGCGGGACACAUGCACACACGGGCAGUGAUCCAUCCGGCUCCCAGAGACUCUCGGCCGCCUCCAUCCAUCUCCCUGACGGGUACCCGGUAG